AGGGUUCGAUUAUGGCUCAGGACGAACGCUGGCGGUGCGCCUUAUGCAUGCAAGUCGAGCGAAGCUUUUCAGUAGUUUACUACAGAAAAUGACUGAGCGGCGAACGGGUGAGUAACGCGUGAGCAAUCUACCUUAGUUACAGGGAUAGCCCGAGGAAACUCGGAUUAAUACCUGAUAUUCUUUAUAUUUCGCAUGAAAUUAAAAGGAAAGGUCAGCCGAACUAAGAUGAGCUCGCGUUCUAUCAGCUAGUUGGUGAGGUAAAAGCUCACCAAGGCUACGACGGAUAGCUGGUCUGAGAGGACGAUCAGCCACACUGGGACUGAGACACGGCCCAGACUCCUACGGGAGGCUGCAGCAGGGAAUAUUGCGCAAUGAGCGAAAGCUUGACGCAGCGACACCGCGUGUGGGAUGACGGAUCUAGGUUUGUAAACCACUUUCAGGAGGGAAGAAAAUGACGGUACCUCCACAAGAAGCCCCGGCCAACUACGUGCCAGCAGCCGCGGUAAUAC
This 509-nucleotide ribosomal RNA is filed under the name uncultured bacterium. RNAcentral's name for it is "bacterial SSU rRNA". It matches the Rfam family "Bacterial small subunit ribosomal RNA", at positions 8 to 526 of the family's 1533-position model. The record is from RNAcentral.